UUAAGGCUGAGACACGACGUCGAGCACCUACGGGUGUGAAGUCAUUGAUGCCAUGCUUCCAGGAAAAGCCUCUAAGCUUCAGAUUGUAAGGAAUCGUACCCCAAACCGACACAGGUGGUCGGGUAGAGAAUACCAAGGCGCUUGAGAGAACUCGGGUGAAGGAACUAGGCAAAAUGGUACCGUAACUUCGGGAGAAGGUACGCUCUCGACGGUGAAGUCCCUUGCGGAUGGAGCUAUUGAGAGUCGCAGAUACCAGGUGGCUGCAACUGUUUAUUAAAAACACAGCACUGUGCAAAAUCGUAAGAUGACGUAUACGGUGUGACGCCUGCCCGGUGCCGGAAGGUUAAUUGAUGGGGUUAGACUUCGGUCGAAGCUCUUGAUCGAAGCCCCGGUAAACGGCGGCCGUAACUAUAACGGUCCUAAGGUAGCGAAAUUCCUUGUCGGGUAAGUUCCGACCUGCACGAAUGGCGUAAUGAUGGCCACGCUGUCUCCACCCGAGACUCAGUGAAAUUGAAAUCGCUGUGAAGAUGCAGUGUACCCGCGGCUAGACGGAAAGACCCCGUGAACCUUUACUACAGCUUGGCACUGAACAUUGACCCUACAUGUGUAGGAUAGGUGGGAGGCUUUGAAGCACGUACGCCAGUAUGUGUGGAGCCGUCCUUGAAAUACCACCCUUGUAGUGUUGAUGUUCUAACGUCGACCCCUUAUCGGGGUUGCGGACAGUGCCUGGUGGGUAGUUUGACUGGGGCGGUCUCCUCCCAAAGAGUAACGGAGGAGCACGAAGGUGGGCUAAUCACGGUUGGACAUCGUGAGGUUAGUGCAAUGGCAUAAGCCCGCUUGACUGCGAGAAUGACAAUUCGAGCAGGUGCGAAAGCAGGUCAUAGUGAUCCGGUGGUUCUGAAUGGAAGGGCCAUCGCUCAACGGAUAAAAGGUACUCCGGGGAUAACAGGCUGAUACCGCCCAAGAGUUCAUAUCGACGGCGGUGUUUGGCACCUCGAUGUCGGCUCAUCACAUCCUGGGGCUGAAGUCGGUCCCAAGGGUAUGGCUGUUCGCCAUUUAAAGUGGUACGCGAGCUGGGUUUAGAACGUCGUGAGACAGUUCGGUCCCUAUCUGCCGUGGGCGUUGGAAGAUUGAAGGGGGCUGCUCCUAGUACGAGAGGACCGGAGUGGACGAACCUCUGGUGUUCGGGUUGUGUCGCCAGACGCAUUGCCCGGUAGCUAAGUUCGGAAUCGAUAACCGCUGAAAGCAUCUAAGCGGGAAGCGAGCCCUGAGAUGAGUCUUCCCUGAUACUUUAAGUAUCCUAAAGGGUUGUCGGAGACUACGACGUUGAUAGGUCAGGUGUGUAAGUGCUGUGAGGCAUUGAGCUAACUGAUACUAAUUGCCCGUGAGGCUUAACCAUACAACACCCAAGGGGUUU
This 1417-nucleotide ribosomal RNA is filed under the name Vibrio parahaemolyticus. Its description in RNAcentral is "bacterial LSU rRNA". It matches the Rfam family "Bacterial large subunit ribosomal RNA", at positions 1550 to 2925 of the family's 2925-position model. Lineage: Bacteria; Pseudomonadati; Pseudomonadota; Gammaproteobacteria; Vibrionales; Vibrionaceae. The record is from RNAcentral.